This 73-nucleotide transfer RNA is filed under the name Merluccius polli (Benguela hake). It matches the Rfam family "tRNA". From Rfam's summary of the family: Transfer RNA (tRNA) molecules are approximately 80 nucleotides in length. The record is from Rfam by way of RNAcentral. Lineage: Eukaryota; Metazoa; Chordata; Actinopteri; Gadiformes; Merlucciidae.
GUUUCUGUAGUGUAGUGGUUAUCAAGUUCGCUUUACACGCGAAAGGUCCCUGGUUCGAAACCGGGCAGAAGCA